GUUUCGGAUAUUGCUCCAAGAGUCUUUUUUGUAGGUACUGAUGCUUUACAUAUGUGUGCCAAUUUUCGUGCAUGUACGUGAAACACAGCUCGAGGGCUGUUGAUUUUUUUACGGUAGGUGGCGCUGUCGAGCCAUUUUGCCACACCCUCUUCUGAAACCUAUAUCAGACGUAAAUUUUCACCAGGUCUGACGCGUGUGCAAAGUUUCAGGACUUUUCGAGCAUGUUUAGGCCCUCAAAAAUGCGAUUCAUUUUGGAGAAGAAGAAGAAGAAGAAGAAGAAGAAGAAGAAGAAGAAGAAUUAAAGCUGCAAGCAGCGAUGAACGGGCCCUCGCACCCGGGCUCACCACCAGCGGGUGGCUUUUG
Long non-coding RNA from Cyprinus carpio carpio, 363 nucleotides. The record is from Ensembl. Lineage: Eukaryota; Metazoa; Chordata; Actinopteri; Cypriniformes; Cyprinidae.